AUGGAGACAGACUUUCAAUGACGAUUGAUUCACUACUAGUGAUGAUUUGCAAGCAACGAGUAACUUUGACCAAGAUCGGUUCUAGUCAACUAUAGUGAAUCCACUAGUAGUCACGCCGGGAUGAUUGAGGAAUGCAUAACGGAUUGUACAUGCCUUCCUAAAACGCCCCCAGUCAUUAUGGAAAUAGACUUUCAAUGAUGAUUGAUUCACUACUAGUGAUGAUUUGCAAGCAACGAGUAACUUUGACCAAGAUCGGUUGUAGUCAACUAUAGUGAAUCCACUAGUAGUCACGCCGGGAUGAUUGAGGAAUGCAUAACGGAUUGUACAUGCCUUCCUAAAACGCCCCCAGUCAUUAUGGAGACAGACUUUCAAUGACGAUUGAUUCACUACUAGUGAUGAUUUGCAAGCAACGAGUAACUUUGACCAAGAUCGGUUCUAGUCAACUAUAGUGAAUCCACUAGUAGUCACGCUGGGAUGAUCGAGGAAUGCAUAACGGAUUGUACAUGCCUUCCUAAAAUGCCCCCAGUCAUUAUGGAGACGGACUUUCAAUGAUGAUUGAUACCUGAUAGUGAUGAUUUGCAAGCAACGAGUAACUUUGACCAAGAUCGGUUCUAGUCAACUAUAGUGAAUCCACUAGUAGUCACGCUGGGAUGAUCGAGGAAUGCAUAACGGAUUGUACAUGCCUUCCUAAAACGCCAGCAGUCAUUAUGGAAACGGACUUUCAAUGAUGAUUGAUACCUGAUAGUGAUGAUUUGCAAGCAACGAGUAACUUUGACCAAGAUCGGUUCUAGUCAACUAUAGUGAAUCCACUAGUAGUCACGCUGGGAUGAUCGGGGAAUGCAUAACAGAUCGUACAUGCCUUCCUAAAACGCCAGCAGUCAUUAUGGAAACGGACUUUCAAUGAUGAUUGAUACCUACAACUGAUGAUUUGCAAGCAACGAGUAACUUUGACCAAGAUCGGUUGUAGUCAACUAUAGUGAAUCCACUAGUAGUCACGCCGGGAUGAUUGAGGAAUGCAUAACGGAUUGUACAUGCCUUCCUAAAACGCCCCCAGUCAUUAUGGAAACGGACUUUCAAUGAUGAUUGAUUCACUACUAGUGAUGAUUUGCAAGCAACGAGUAACUUUGAAAGACAUAUGCUAUACAUUUAUUUUUUAAAAUUAUUUAUUUGAAAACCCAAAACUAACAACAAUGAAAAAUUAAAAAAUUAAUAUUGGUUCAAACGAGUUAACCCGACCAAACUGAAAAAAAUCAUUGGGCGGGUUACACUUUUUUAUUUUUUUUCCGUUGGGCGGGUUUCAAUUAGAUAUUUGCAACCCGACAUUUAUAUUGGGUUGGUAAAAAUAUACUAUAUCCCGACCAAACUAAUCGAUGUACACCCGUAGAUAUUAAUAUUUAGUCUAACAUAUGUCAUUGAGCAACACAAUGACAAGUGUGUAGUCUUAUCAAUGGUACUACAUCCUUAUUAAUAAUCAAAUAAGUAAAAUAAAUAAAUAAAUAAAGACAAAACAAAAAAAGACAAAAGAGUUAGGUAUAUAAUAAUCAUCCAUCUCCAUAUAUAUAUAUCUCACUACUCAAUAAACAAAGAUUACCAUUUACCAAACUUAUCUCACCUCCUAACUUCAACUCAAUCCUUAUUUUUUCAAUACCCUCUACUAGUUCACUAUAACUUGCAUACUUAUUGCGAAUGGAAAAUCAUGAAGCAAUACCCUCUACAGGUUCACUGAAUAAAUCUUCUCAUGAAAAUAGCGAUUCUGGAUUCGUGCACCAUUUGUCACUACCUCCAUCUCCUUUACGCUAUCUUAAUCACAUUGAGAAGAGGCUAUGGGAUGCUGAGCAAAAAAUAUUGCUAGCCGAUGAACAGAAAAAGCUUUUGGUAUCACAAGUUUCUUAUUACAAAACAAAAAUCUCAGAUCUACAGCAUGAUUUAAAAAUCCAUCGACAAAUAUCUUCCAGGGAUGCGAAUGACGUUGGUAGACUAAAAAGGGCCUUGGCACAUAUGAAGCACGAAGCAUGUACUCAAUACAAAAGAAACCUUGAAAUGAUGAUUGGUGGUGACAGUGGAUCUGAAAAAACAGCAGGUCCCUAGUCAACUCUAAUUUACUAUGAUGAGGUGUUACUGAUGUUAAAUUAUGUAGUGUGAACAAUGUUUGAUUUAAGUAGUUACUACCAUAUUCAUGUUUUGAAUGUAUUAUUUUCGUAUUUCUAUGUCUAAUGUAUUUUGAGUUGUCAUCUAUUUUAAUAUACAUGAACAACUAUUUCUUAAUAUUUAUUUGCCUUUGAAAAAAACCUUACAAAUAAUAAUAAAAAAAUUAAAAAGCAUCUACUUAACUGUAUAAAAUAAUAUACCACAUAAUGUCAAAAGGACACUUAUAUAAUAAUAUAUUUUUAAAACACAUUUGGUAUAGUGAUAUGUCUUAUAUAAAUACCCCUAAAUAGAGAAUGCUUAGAAUACCACUUACUAUUAUAUUGCACUUGCAUAUAAAAACUCUUUAAGUUAACUAUGUCUUCCUCUCUUGUGACUUCUAUCAAUACUCGUCCAAAGUGCCAUUGUGGCACAGAUUCGGUGUGCCGAACUUCAAGGAGUGAAGAGAACCCUGGUAGAAGAUUUUGGGGGUGUGGAAACUAUGAUCGAGAUUCUUGUAAGGUAUGUCAUUUUUUCGAGUGGGUGGAUCCAGAUGUUCUGGUUGGAGCUAAUGUAGUAUUGCAGAGGUUGGAAAGAAAAAUUGAGGACCAAAGUAAAGAGAUCAAGUUACUUAAGAAAUUUGUGUUAUUCCUAAUUUGUGUUGAACUAAUAAAAUUAUUGUUGUAUUGAAAAUGUAUAACUAAUCCAUGAUAUGAGUGUUUUUCUUAUUAAACUUAUGUAAUCAGUAGUUUGAGUUAAUAUGUUGUAAUGUAUAAUUAAUAUCAUGGAUUCUUAUUAUAAUAUUAAUGUGUUAUGUUGUUGGUUACAAAAAAAAAAUGUCAUAAUUAUUAUUAUUAUUA
Long non-coding RNA from Cannabis sativa, 2984 nucleotides. RefSeq lists it as uncharacterized. Lineage: Eukaryota; Viridiplantae; Streptophyta; Magnoliopsida; Rosales; Cannabaceae. The record is from RefSeq and is a predicted model, not a curated record. The transcript is spliced from 2 exons.